This 622-nucleotide ribosomal RNA is filed under the name Microbacterium sp. Ri3Pw_6163. RNAcentral describes it as "bacterial SSU rRNA". It matches the Rfam family "Bacterial small subunit ribosomal RNA", at positions 395 to 1028 of the family's 1533-position model. The record is from RNAcentral. Lineage: Bacteria; Bacillati; Actinomycetota; Actinomycetes; Micrococcales; Microbacteriaceae.
CGCCGCGUGAGGGAUGACGGCCUUCGGGUUGUAAACCUCUUUUAGCAGGGAAGAAGCGAAAGUGACGGUACCUGCAGAAAAAGCGCCGGCUAACUACGUGCCAGCAGCCGCGGUAAUACGUAGGGCGCAAGCGUUAUCCGGAAUUAUUGGGCGUAAAGAGCUCGUAGGCGGUUUGUCGCGUCUGCUGUGAAAUCCCGAGGCUCAACUUCGGGUCUGCAGUGGGUACGGGCAGACUAGAGUGCGGUAGGGGAGAUUGGAAUUCCUGGUGUAGCGGUGGAAUGCGCAGAUAUCAAGAGGAACACCGAUGGCGAAGGCAGAUCUCUGGGCCGUAACUGACGCUGAGGAGCGAAAGGGUGGGGAGCAAACAGGCUUAGAUACCCUGGUAGUCCACCCCGUAAACGUUGGGAACUAGUUGUGGGGUCCAUUCCACGGAUUCCGUGACGCAGCUUACGCAUUAAGUUCCCCGCCUGGGGAGUACGGCCGCAAGGCUAAAACUCAAAGGAAUUGACGGGGACCCGCACAAGCGGCGGAGCAUGCGGAUUAAUUCGAUGCAACGCGAAGAACCUUACCAAGGCUUGACAUAUACGAGAACGCUGCAGAAAUGUACAACUCUUUGGACACU